UACAUAGGGUGCAAGCGUUAAUCGGAAUUACUGGGCGUAAAGGGUGCGCAGGCGGCUUGGAAAGAACGGUGUGAAAUCCCGGGGCUCAACCCCGGAACUGCACUAUUAACUAUCAAGCUAGAGUAUGUCAGAGGGGGGUGGAAUUCCGCGUGUAGCAGUGAAAUGCGUAGAUAUGCGGAGGAACACCAAUGGCGAAGGCAGCCCCCUGGGAUAAUACUGACGCUCAGGCACGAAAGCGUGGGUAGCAAACAGG
Molecule: ribosomal RNA, 253 nt
Filed under: uncultured bacterium
Lineage: Bacteria
Description: partial 16S ribosomal RNA
Rfam family: Bacterial small subunit ribosomal RNA
Source: RNAcentral